Molecule: RNA transcript, 2625 nt
Organism: Fundulus heteroclitus (mummichog)
Lineage: Eukaryota; Metazoa; Chordata; Actinopteri; Cyprinodontiformes; Fundulidae
Gene name: MAGUK p55 subfamily member 4
Exons: 9
Source: RefSeq, a predicted model, not a curated record
UUUCAGAAAGCUCAGGGGAAAUUUGUUUAGGAUUUAGGACUUGGUUAUUGGGAUUAAGACCUAAUUUGGUUUCGGGUUAGGGUAAUGGAUUAUGUAAACAAAGUCUCUCACAAAGAAUAGGUUUUUGAGCUGUGUGGGUUUGUGUGUCUGUGGCUAAAAGCGGUGACCGACUAAGAAGCUUUGUGAUUCACGGAGCUACUAGCAGCACAGAUGUCUUGCCUCCCUACAAGUGAGACAGGCAAGUAAGGACAGAAUAUGAAAAAAGGGGUCCUUAACAGCAAGAACAGUUAAAAGAAAGAGCUUGGAAAAUUGACUGAGUUGUUUGUAAUAGAAAACAAGGAAAACAUUUAUAAAUUUCAGAGAGAAAGGGGAUGCGGUUGAGGCAGCGAGGAAGAGGUUAGUAGAUUAAGCAGGGUUAGAGGGGAUUAGUGUCAGGUUUGGUUUGGUUGUAAACUCACAUCCCUGUCAGUCACUUUUAGCUAUGGCUGACAUGCUCACAAUACUGAUUCACUCCAUCUCAGAGAUCAAACUCUGAAUAAAGUCCCAGGGAAACUGGACAACAGCAAAAGAAGGAGAAAUAGCAAUUUUUUCCUCUUGGGGGCUCUUGAUGACAAACAUGAUACCAGCGAUGGAAGAUGGGGUCAACGAGGUAUUAUCAAGCGUUGUGGAGGAUGUUGGUGAAGCCGUCAGCAGAAACAUUAGUGGUGCGCAGCUCCUGCAUGAACUACUGAGCGCUCCGUGGCUGCGUGCCUUACUAAAGAUUUACGAGUGCCUGAUGCAGUUCCAGAGAUUUACACCGAGCCCACUUCUACCGUGUGCCUCUGGACUCUUAUUUGAGAUCAUGGCCAUCAUACAAAGAGCGCAUCGUCCGUCAGCCGAAGCUCGUGAACUCUACAACCUCCUCAGCUCACCACAUAUCCAGGCCCUCCUGUCAUCUCACGACAGUGUGGCACAGUAUGACUAUUUACCCGUCCUUCCCCCGCUGCCUGAUGAGUUACCUGAGGAUGAGGAGGCCAUGAGGAUUGUAUGUCUUGUGAAGAACAACCAGCCUCUGAGUGCAAAGGGUAGCAGAAGUGUAGAAGACGGGAAUGGAGUGAUCCGUAGCCGUUGGAGCAGCCUUCGUCGACACACAUUGGAGCGCCUCAUCCCUGCGAGGCGGGCAUGGUCAGGGGAGGAGCUCAGAAUGACUGACAGAGAGGCCAGGCCUCUAACCCCCCUUGGAAAUCCACCCUGCCACUUUCAUUCCCAUGACAAGUUGACAGGAAGUUGUUGUUUAUGUCCACAAAAUGCAGAGCUUUGGAAGCAAGGGCUCCACCGCUCGGCUCCGGCUGUCUUUAACCCAGACGCAUGCUCCGAGAGACCCGGACGAAACAAAGAAGGCGAUGCUUCAAGCGUAGGGAGCAGUGAUGACUAUUCUUACCCUCCCCCUCCAAUCCCAGCCUACAGUGUCAGUCUUCCCAACUCUCCCCUCAUGUACAAAAGGGGAGUUCUAGGAGGAGAAUCUAGGAGCAUUCCGACUCCUGGUAGGGCCCCUGUUAGAGUCCACACAGCACCAGCAUUGCCUGCAACUCAGCAGUCUACUCGGCAUCAAGGAGUCAGCACUCUCCCAAAUCCUGUCCAGCUUAGGCACAAAGUGCCUUUGAAGCAUCCACAUGAGCACAACUCUUCUGUUCUGCAUCACAACCAUCCACAACAGAAUGUCCCACAAGAGCAGCAACAGAAACAUUAUCAAUCUCCUCCGCCUCCUGAGUUCAACAAAACCUGCAGCAUGGAAGAGCUCAGGACCACUGUCCAAAGCGUGGCCUGCAGUAUUGAACACAGCAGUCAGGAUGUACGCCACCUGGGACAGAAAAUGGUGGCAGCAACGGAAAUGAUCACGGACCGUGUGGAAGAGAAUGUCCAGGCCCUCAACCUCCUUGCUGAAGUGGUUGAUAAGCUCCAGGGGAUCAUCGUGUCCAAAAACCACUCUGAAGCAUCUGCUUCAUGCAGGCCGAAAUUGAAACGUCGCCCCACACCACCUCCAAGAGUCUCCUCUUUAUCUCCCAAAUUGACCCGCAAACCUCCAGCACCUUACCCACGGCCCCUCUCAUGCUCCCAUUCUUCCUCCAGCUCCUCUUCUUCAUCUGCCAGCUGCGCAGAAGGUUUUACAGGCUACCACAGCCCCAAAGGGCUGCAAGGAGGAAACAAAGCCAGCACACUAAGAAACGACGCAGACAACAAUGGACAUGUCCAAUUCAACAAAGGAAUAAUUACAAGAGCUCAACAGGAAAACAAACGAGACUGCAAGGUCACAGACUGUUUAACAAUGAACAAGAAAAAGAAGAAAAAUAAGCAGCCAUACUGAAAAAACCUUCUGCAUGUUGUCUGCUUGAAUAUUGGAAACAGACUCAUUUAGCAGCCUUCAUGUACCAACCUUUUUCUUAACCAGUUGUUUAUGUUAGUAGCUGCAAAUAUGCAUAUUCAUGGAUUUUUCUCACCACAAAUUCAGUUUUUUUUUUUCCAAUGGAUCAUCUGAAGGAUGCAAAAGGAAAUUGAAUGAAAGGGGGCGACAAUAAGAAGGGAUGAAGCGACAGGAGACAUCUACAUCGCCCGAGUGAUUCAUGGAGGACUGGCAGAUCGCAGUGG